CCUACGGGAGGCAGCAGUGGGGAAUUUUCCGCAAUGGGCGAAAGCCUGACGGAGCAACGCCGCGUGAGGGAUGAAGGCCUCUGGGCUGUAAACCUCUUUUCUCAAGGAAGAAGUCUGACGGUACUGAGA
This 129-nucleotide ribosomal RNA is filed under the name uncultured bacterium. RNAcentral's name for it is "partial 16S ribosomal RNA". It matches the Rfam family "Bacterial small subunit ribosomal RNA", at positions 338 to 484 of the family's 1533-position model. The record is from RNAcentral.